GACGAACGCUGGCGGCGUGCCUAAUACAUGCAAGUCGAACGAGAGCAACCGGUGCUUGCACUGUUCAAUCUAGUGGCACACGGGUGUGUAACACGUGUAUAACCUCCUUAUCAGAGGGGGAAAACAUGCGGACACGGGCGCUAACACCGCAUAAGCUUUCGCUCCGCGUUGUUGGUUGGGGAGAUGCGGCGCAAGCUUCUGCUCAUGCGUGUUCCCGGGGUGUAUUAGCUGGUUUGGGGGGUCACGGCUCUCAAAGGCCGUGAUGCAUAGACGAACAGAGGGGGGGAUAGGCGACAUUGGGACGGAGACACGGCCCAAACUCCUACGGGAGGGCGCAGUAGGGAAUCUUCCGCAAUGGACGCAAGUCUGACGGAGCAACGCCGCGUGAGUGAAGAAGGUUUUCGGAUCGUAAAACUCUGUUGUUAGAGAAGAACAAGUGCUAGAGUAACUGUUAGCGCCUUGACGGUAACUAACCAGAAAGCCACGGCUAACUACGUG
Molecule: ribosomal RNA, 498 nt
Filed under: uncultured bacterium
Lineage: Bacteria
Description: partial 16S ribosomal RNA
Rfam family: Bacterial small subunit ribosomal RNA
Source: RNAcentral